RNAcentral lists this ribosomal RNA (496 nucleotides) under uncultured bacterium. Its description in RNAcentral is "partial 16S ribosomal RNA". It matches the Rfam family "Bacterial small subunit ribosomal RNA", at positions 29 to 507 of the family's 1533-position model. The record is from RNAcentral.
AUGCACGCUGGCGGCGUGCCUAAUACAUGCAAGUCGAGCGAACGGACGAGAAGCUUGCUUUUCUGAUGUUAGCGGCGGACGGGUGAGUAACACGUGGAUAACCUACCUAUAAGACUGGGAUAACUUCGGGAAACCGGAGCUAAUACCGGAUAAUAUUUUGAACCGCAUGGUUCAAAAGUGAAAGACGGUCUUGCUGUCACUUAUAGAUGGAUCCGCGCUGCAUUAGCUAGUUGGUAAGGUAACGGCUUACCAAGGCAACGAUGCAUAGCCGACCUGAGAGGGUGAUCGGCCACACUGGAACUGAGACACGGUCCAGACUCCUACGGGAGGCAGCAGUAGGGAAUCUUCCGCAAUGGGCGAAAGCCUGACGGAGCAACGCCGCGUGAGUGAUGAAGGUCUUCGGAUCGUAAAACUCUGUUAUUAGGGAAGAACAUAUGUGUAAGUAACUGUGCACAUCUUGACGGUACCUAAUCAGAAAGUCACGGCUAACUACGUG